UACGUAGGUGGCAAGCGUUGUCCGGAUUUACUGGGCGUAAAGAGCGCGCAGGCGGUCGUUCAAGUCGCGUGUGAAAGCCCCCGGCUCAACUGGGGAGGGUCACGCGAUACUGAUCGACUGGAAGGCAGGAGAGGGUAGUGGAAUUCCCGGUGUAGUGGUGAAAUGCGUAGAUAUCGGGAGGAAGGCCAGCGGCGAAGGCGGAUCACUGGACAGUUCCUGACGCUCAGGCACGAAGGCCAGGGGAGCAAACGGG
Molecule: ribosomal RNA, 253 nt
Filed under: uncultured bacterium
Lineage: Bacteria
Description: partial 16S ribosomal RNA
Rfam family: Bacterial small subunit ribosomal RNA
Source: RNAcentral